Homo sapiens (human) is the source of this 418-nucleotide long non-coding RNA. NCBI's taxonomy places the organism in Eukaryota, Metazoa, Chordata, Mammalia, Primates, Hominidae. The record is from Ensembl.
CAGCUCCUAGUUUAGUGGCCCGCACACGGGACACCCACACCUGUGAAGAAAUCUGUGGCUGGAAAAGAGCUGACGGACUCAGCAGUCACAGCGUGAACUGCCCUUAUGGACAGAGAAGCUUCACAAAGACUUCAAAAUCAGUGCACGGUGUAUAUACACUCGGAGGUGUGCAGUAUAUAUACACUCGGAGUCACGGAGGCCGGGACUGGAGAGGCAGAGGGCCGGAGUGUAGAUGGAGAGGAGCAAAGGAUUAAUAUUCAGAAUGUAUCAAGAACGUCUGUAAAUCCAAACCAAAAAGUAACCUAAUGGGAAAAUAGGCAGAAUAUCUGAGCAAAUAACUUACGGGAGAAGAAACCUAAAUGAUGAACAAAAAGGAAGACAUGAGCCUCGCUAGUAUUCGGGGUGCAGGCUGAUGGGA